AAUAGAUACCCGGGUAGUCCACGCCGUAAACGAUGAGAACUAGAUGUUAGGGGGCUUAGACCUUUUAGUAUCGCAGCAAACGCGUUAAGUUCUCCGCCUGGGGAGUACGGCCGCAAGGUUAAAACUCAAAUGAAUUGACGGGGGCCCGCACAAGCGGUGGAGCAUGUGGUUUAAUUCGAUGCAACGCGAAGAACCUUACCUACCUUUGAAUCCACGGAAUCUUGCAGAAAUGUGAGAGUGCCUUCGGGAACCGUGAGACAGGUGCUGCAUGGCUGUCGUCAGCUCGUGUCGUGAGAUGUUGGGUUAAGUCCCGUAACGAGCGCAACCCUUGUCCUUAGUUACCAGCGAGUUAUAUCGGGGACUUUAAGGAGACUGCCGGUGAUAAACCGGAGGAAGGUGGGGAUGACGUCAAGUCCUCAUGGCCCUUACAGGUAGGGCCACACACGUGCUACAAUGGCCGGUACAAAGGGUUGCCAACCCGCGAGGGGGAGCUAAUCUCAAAAAGCCGGUCGUAGUCCGGAUUGGAGUCUGCAACUCGACUCCAUGAAGCUGGAAUCGCU
This 560-nucleotide ribosomal RNA is filed under the name uncultured bacterium. Its description in RNAcentral is "bacterial SSU rRNA". It matches the Rfam family "Bacterial small subunit ribosomal RNA", at positions 777 to 1336 of the family's 1533-position model. The record is from RNAcentral.